GACGAACGCUGGCGGCGUGCUUAACACAUGCAAGUCGAACGGAAAGGCCCUGCUUUUGUGGGGUGCUCGAGUGGCGAACGGGUGAGUAACACGUGAGUAACCUGCCCUUGACUUUGGGAUAACUUCAGGAAACUGGGGCUAAUACCGGAUAGGAGCUCCUGCUGCAUGGUGGGGGUUGGAAAGUUUCGGCGGUUGGGGAUGGACUCGCGGCUUAUCAGCUUGUUGGUGGGGUAGUGGCUUACCAAGGCUUUGACGGGUAGCCGGCCUGGGAGGGUGACCGGGCACAUUGGGACUGAGAUAGGGACCAGAAUCCUACGGGAGGCAGUAGUGGGGAAUAUUGCACAAUGGGCGGAAGCCUGAUGCAGCAACGCCGCGUGCGGGAUGACGGCCUUCGGGUUGUAAACCGCUUUCGCCUGUGACGAAGCGUGAGUGACGGUAAUGGGUAAAGAAGCACCGGCUAACUACGUG
RNAcentral lists this ribosomal RNA (468 nucleotides) under uncultured bacterium. RNAcentral describes it as "partial 16S ribosomal RNA". It matches the Rfam family "Bacterial small subunit ribosomal RNA", at positions 28 to 507 of the family's 1533-position model. The record is from RNAcentral.